GCCUUCCCAAGAUCUAGUGUUUUCCCGAAGAAACUUCCGAACUUCCUGGGAAAGUGCAACCAGGAAGGCAUUUCCACCACCCGCUGGAGCAGAGAGGGGAGACGGAAAGCCCGGCGCGAGCUGCUUCCCCGGCCCCAGCCCCAGGCUCUACACCUCACAGGGGAAGCCACCACGGUGAGAGGCCCACGCACCGCCACCGCAACGAAGAGUAGCCCCCGCUUGCCGCAGCUAGAGAGAGCCCACAUGCAGCAACAAAGACGCAAUGCAGCCAAAAAUAGAUAAAUAAUAAAAUAAAUGAAUGCUGUCGGCGUUUCCAUUCUCAACAUGAAAAAAGACAAACUUUGGAGCGAGUGAGUAGCGGCCAGAGGACGCACAGCCCAUAAACCGAAGUGCUAAGACUGGAGCCCAGGGCUUCGGCAGGGCCUCCGUCGGGCACCCGGCACCGCGCCCGCCCUGCCUGCUGCCUGGUGGGCACGGUCCACGCGGAAGCCGUCGGGUCGAGCCCUCGGAAGGGGAGAGGCGGGGCUGGCUGGGCGGGCCGGGCGACUUUGCUCUGAGCCCGGGCUUUCUUCUCCUCUGCCCGCCGCCCACCCACUGAGCCCGGAACGCCGCUGCCGGAGCCCAGAGGUUUCCUUUUUCUUUCGCCCGGGGCUGCUUCCUGCCUUUCUUUUGAACUGGGGUGUUGGCUCCCUGACACGCUCGCCCUCCUCCAGCGACCCCCCCACCGGGCCUGCCCCGUGAUGGGCCAACUCCGCCCCCCAACCCGGCUCUGCUUCAUAGAAAGGCUGGCACCCAGUCCCUAGGGGACCCUCCUCCUGGAGCGGCUCCCCGCUCUCCCCGGGGGAGGUCCUGCGCCAGGACAGGAGGCUCAGAGCCCAUCUCCCCUGCGUCUCCGGCCCUGUUUCUCAACAAAACCUGUGCGCAUUGUGGUCUGGAAAUGUUCUGGCACGGGCUGAGGGUUAGAACUCAAACCCCGAGUUUGUGGGGUGGGGAGAAGCUCAGGCUCUUAGAAUCUAUUAGAAAAGGACACGGAGGCCUAGCCCGGAAAGGGCGGCCUCCGAGGUCCAGAAUGAGAAGAGGCCCAUGGAUCUCCCAGACGCAGCCCGCAAGGCCGCCAUCCUCCCUGGAGCCACACGUUUCUCUGCUUCUUCAGACGACAGGCCCUGCAGGGACCAGCCGCUGCGCUGGGGAGCAGGCUGGGGUAUCCCACCCGUUGCUGCCUCACCCCCCUCAAAGCUCUGCGUCCGCACCGGCCAGGAGAAAACUAAAACCUCUCCAGGCCCCAGAGGGCUCCUCUCGGCUCCCUGCAGCCACUCUCUCCUCUCUCAUCCCCCAACACACAGACGCGCCCAUCCCGCACUUCCUCCUCCAGGAAGACCUCCCUGACUAACACUUCUUGGCCCCAGUCACCCUAAUAACAACACCACUAACACUGGGCUCUUCCCAAGGGCCGGACACUGUGCCAAACCCUUUACAAACGUCGCCUCAGUGAAUUCAGACAACAGCCCUGUGAGGCAGGCAUGAGCUCCAUUUACAGAUGAGGAAACUGGCCCAGGUCACCAGCUUGUGAGGACUGCGGUCCUGCUCUGCCGUGACCGGCACCUGUGCUGGGACCCCCGCUCUCCCCAGCGCCCUGCCUCCGUCUCAUCACCCUCAGGCGGCGAUGAGUAGGAUGGAAACUACCCAGAAUCUACACACACGCUGCGUCUGACCUUUCAUCGAGGUCAGCGGUCGUCACAGCAGCCUUACAGGGAGUAAGGUCCCAAGGAGGCAGUAAGCUGCCUGACGGCGGUUGUGGAGCGGGGGGCCCCCUUCGUCCCGGCGGCAGAAGGUGAUGGAAAUGGGUGCUGAGGGGUCAGUGCAAGCGAACGAGCCUCAGGCCUUCUACAAGCAGCUCGGCCCCCCACUCGCUUCCUGUCUCUGCUCAACUCUGGGGGCAAAGGAGGGACUCAGAAUACUACCCAGAUUCUCCAAGUCAGGGACAGCCCCGGGUAUUGCCAACAACACGUGUAUAUCUCUGUCCCCUCGCUGUGCGGACGUGGGACGGGAUAGAGCGAGGGCCGCCCCACCUUCCGGGUGCCCCAGAGCCGGGGGUCCGUGUCUCCCAGGUGAGUCCCGGGGAGGACAUCCAAACCCUCAUGAGUCCCCACGAGCCUCACUGAGACCACGGGUUGGAGAGACGCCAAGGCCUGUGGGUGUUUGGCGUCGGUCCCUUCAACCCAAUCAACCGGGCGUCCGACCCUGAGGGAGCGUCGUCUUUGCAGCUUGGCACUGCCCACAAAUUAGUGUCUCCAACACGGCCUCUUGGGACGUGACUUCAGGAAGGCCCCUGGGGAGCCAGAGGCCUCAGUGGAGGGAGAUGGAGCCAGCAGGGACAUCUUGGAGGAGACGAGGGUGGCUUAGUCCCCUCUCCUGGCUUCUGGGACCCCCACCAAGGCCACCCAGCUCGAGUGACUGCUCUGCUCUCCUUGCCCCGGCUGGGGACAAUCUUUCCCCCCACGGGGCCCCUCCCCUCUCCUCCGCUGAGCCCUGGCCACCGUCCUGGCGCUGCUCUGCAGGAGAAGAAACCAAGAAACCGGCAAGAGGAGAGGGGGCGGCAGUCUGGGCCCCUCUGCUCAGGGCCCGGAGACCCACCUCUCACCUAGCCUGGGCUCGCGCCAUUAGGCCCCGAGACGGGCCAACUGGGAACCGGUCAGGGAAGCCCGGCCUCACCACUCGCCUGGCCUUCAGCCUGGGACUGUUCUCCCCGCCACGGCCCCACAGUCCAGGACAGGGCAGGAGAUGCCUGGGCCUCAGGGCUCCAGCUGCACAGGUGCCCCAGACUGAGGCUGGCCCGGCCAGCGCGCAGCCAGGCGGGCUCAGGGAGAAGCGCGUGGUACUCACAGGUAA
Molecule: long non-coding RNA, 2889 nt
Organism: Orcinus orca (killer whale)
Lineage: Eukaryota; Metazoa; Chordata; Mammalia; Artiodactyla; Delphinidae
Exons: 4
Source: RefSeq, a predicted model, not a curated record